This 71-nucleotide transfer RNA is filed under the name Loxodonta africana (African savanna elephant). It matches the Rfam family "tRNA". Rfam says of the family: Transfer RNA (tRNA) molecules are approximately 80 nucleotides in length. Their secondary structure includes four short double-helical elements and three loops (D, anti-codon, and T loops). Lineage: Eukaryota; Metazoa; Chordata; Mammalia; Proboscidea; Elephantidae. The record is from Rfam by way of RNAcentral.
GCCCUGGUGGCACAGCGGUGGAGCAUUCAGCUGCUAACUGAAAGGUUGGCGGUUCAUCCCACCCAGUGGCU